UGGAAGUUUAUAUAAAGUUGGCUAUGAGGUCUCAAUACAUAUCAUCACUGAAGGUGGUAAAACAUUUUUGGAAGGAAGAUAACAUAAUAUCAGAGGUGAAGAUUACAAAGAUUUUGUUGUAGUAAUAAAUACAGUGCAUAAUAUAUUCAAAUUGAUGAAAGCUUUUGGAGCCUUGUCUUUUUAGAUUUUUAAGGGAUUCGCUUUUAGUUGUUUACUUGUAUAGCCACUUUCUAUUGGGAGGUCAAGCUCCUAAAAUUUGACUCGUGAAACAUAAUUAAAUUGUAGGCUAUUUUAUUAUUUUAAUUCCAUAUGUUUCAUAUAAAAUAAAUUCAAAUAUUAUAGAGAUUUUGCUUAUAGCAUGAGUUUUUUCAAAUAUAUUUUCUUUUACAAUACAUUGGUUGGGUCAUGAUGAGUGCAUGUGCAUGGAAUGCUUGCUUUCUUUUACAUAUCAACUUAAAAACUUUAGCUCGUUGCACAAAUCUUUGUUUUCAUAAUAUGAGAUUUGAUAUUAUUAUUAUAUAUCCUCUCUGAGACUAGAGCGAGUAGCAAAGAUGUCCAUAUCAUAGUAACUUUUUUUUUUAUCAAUAUUUGGUAUGGGAACCGUUCAUGUUUCUUGUUAUUAUAUAUUUCAAAAUGUCUUAUUUUUUGUGCA
Molecule: long non-coding RNA, 652 nt
Filed under: Phoenix dactylifera (date palm)
Lineage: Eukaryota; Viridiplantae; Streptophyta; Magnoliopsida; Arecales; Arecaceae
Description: long non-coding RNA (PDAC_LNC008015)
Source: RNAcentral